This 253-nucleotide ribosomal RNA is filed under the name uncultured bacterium. RNAcentral describes it as "partial 16S ribosomal RNA". It matches the Rfam family "Bacterial small subunit ribosomal RNA", at positions 524 to 776 of the family's 1533-position model. The record is from RNAcentral.
GACGUAGGGUGCGAGCGUUGUCCGGAUUUAUUGGGCGUAAAGAGCUCGUAGGCGGCUCGUCGCGUCGACCGUGAAAACCCGCGGCUUAACUGCGGGCUUGCGGUUGAUACGGGCGGGCUAGAGUUCGGUAGGGGAGACUGGAAUUCCUGGUGUAGCGGUGAAAUGCGCAGAUAUCAGGAGGAACACCGGUAGCGAAGGCGGGUCUCUGGGCCGAUACUGACGCUGAGGAGCGAAAGCGUGGGGAGCGAACAGG